Long non-coding RNA from Talpa occidentalis (Iberian mole), 583 nucleotides. RefSeq lists it as uncharacterized. Lineage: Eukaryota; Metazoa; Chordata; Mammalia; Eulipotyphla; Talpidae. The record is from RefSeq and is a predicted model, not a curated record. The transcript is spliced from 3 exons.
CCAGGGCUCAGAGAGGCUGAGAGUGGCACAGGGUCCACCGCCAGGCCCAGCCCGGGGUCCCAGGGCACAGGAUGCUCUUUCCUCAGGAGCCAACACCUCCCAACCCAGCAAGCAAAGCGCCCCUUGCCGGCUCCCCAGGGACUGCGGAGGAUUAAACUCUCAUUUAGGUUGGCCCCCGAGGUGUCCCGCAUCAGUGAAAGGAAGACAUCAAGUCAGAGAAAGCCAUCAUCCCCAAGAUGCCUGGCGCUGAAGGUCUCCUGUGGGACCGAACGCAACCUUUCCAUCUGAUUCAGUGAGACUACGCAAGGUGGUCCUCAGGAGGGUGCAAAGCAUGCCGGGGAAUCCUCUGGAGGUGCUGAGGCUCACCCGGGACUCUAUCCAUAUGGCUGGUGCUGGCAUCAGAAGAAAAAAUUUGGACAGACACACAGACGGGGAAGGCGCUGUCAAGACACAAGGAGACCGCCUGUACCAGCCCAGGACAGAGACCAGGAGCAAAUGCUUCCCCAGGCCCUCAGAAGGAACAAACCUGCCGAUACCUCCCUUUAAGAUUUCAUUUCCAGACCUGUGAGACAAUAAAUCUCUG